Callithrix jacchus (white-tufted-ear marmoset) is the source of this 102-nucleotide Y RNA. It matches the Rfam family "Y RNA". From Rfam's summary of the family: Y RNAs are components of the Ro ribonucleoprotein particle (Ro RNP), in association with Ro60 and La proteins. The Y RNAs and Ro60 and La proteins are well conserved, but the function of the Ro RNP is not known. The record is from Ensembl. NCBI's taxonomy places the organism in Eukaryota, Metazoa, Chordata, Mammalia, Primates, Cebidae.
GGGUGGUCCGAGUGCAGUGGUGUUUACAACUAAUUGAUCAUAACCAGUUACAGAUUUCUCUGUUCCUUCUCCACUCCCCCUGCUUCACUUGACUAGCCUUUA